AAUGAACGCUGGCGGCGCGCCUAAUACAUGCAAGUCGAGCGAGAAGACGUAGCAAUACGUUUGUAAAGCGGCGAACGGGUGAGGAAUACAUGGGUAACCUACCCUCGAGUGGGGAAUAACUAGCCGAAAGGUUAGCUAAUACCGCGUACGCUCCUUGGACUUCGGUUCAGGGAGGAAAGCGAUACCGUGGGUAUCGCGCUCUUGGAUGGGCUCAUGUCCUAUCAGCUUGUUGGGAGGUAACGGCUCACCAAGGCUUCGACGGGUAGCUGGUCUGAGAGGACGAUCAGCCACACUGGCACUGCGACACGGGCCAGACUCCUACGGGAGGCAGCAGUAAGGAAUAUUGCGCAAUGGGCGAAAGCCUGACGCAGCGACGCCGCGUGGGGGAUGAAGGUCUUCGGAUUGUAAACCCCUUUCGGGAGGGAAGAUGGAACGAGCUAUCGUUCGGACGGUACCUCCAGAAGCAGCCACGGCUAACUUCGUGCC
This 486-nucleotide ribosomal RNA is filed under the name uncultured bacterium. RNAcentral's name for it is "bacterial SSU rRNA". It matches the Rfam family "Bacterial small subunit ribosomal RNA", at positions 29 to 509 of the family's 1533-position model. The record is from RNAcentral.